ACAACACGAAGGACAUUUACAAAUGAACCUAAUGCUAACUGGGAAUAUGUCAUCUGCUCAGUAUAUAUUCAAGACAGCUGGUAUCACGACCAUCACGCCCCGAACGACUCGUGCACAUGUGCAGUGCUGAUCAGAGGUAGACAUCAGAAUCUGGCCGUACUUGCCGACUUGGUGCAAGAACGCCCCCAGGGUAUACGGAAUGGUGAGGAUCUUGCCCGUGAGGAGGAUGUUCAGGUUAUGUCGUCUACAUCAAUGCACCCUUCUGAUGGGAGCGCUUCUAGUCGCCCUAGUUGUCACUAACAUUCGUAUAUCUAAAGUCAUGGAUGCAAGUGGUGGCAACGUCAAGUCAAUGACUUGGGCUUCACAUGACCAAACCACACGACAUCAAGAUGUACGCCAGGGACCACAUGACCCGACUAUAGAGGCGAUACAGCAGCGAGUGAGACACGUACAGAACAGAUGCAGAGGGAUGCAGGGGCACCAGGGGGUGCUGCGGAGGGUGUAUGUCAGUGAAGGAACGAAACUGGCUUACUGCCCCGUAGCUAAAAUUGGCACGACCUUCUGGAAGAGAGUGUUCCUGUUCUUGAACAAUGACACAGGUCUAUACCACGUUCCCAGUCCUUUUCAAAUACCACGAUCAUUUGUUCACUAUGGCAAUACAACAAACACAAAGGUAUUGAAGAGGGGGCACAUGAGCGGAGCCAUACUCAACAAGUACACUCGCAUUAUGUUUUCAAGGAACCCAUACGCACGACUUUGGUCAGCAUAUCUGGAUAAAUUGUAUCUUCCAGAUUUCUGGAAGAAGCAUUCAGGUAAAAUAAUUAAAACACGAACAAAUAUUACCGAGGAAGCUUCAAAAUGCCAUAAUGAUGUCAGCUUUCGGGAGUUUCUGGAAUACGUUGUUUCGGGUUCCAAAAUACGUAAAAAUGAGCACUGGCAACCAAUUAAGUACAGAUGCGAUCCCUGUCAGUUCAGGCCAAACAUUAUCGGGAAAAUGGAGACAUUUAGUGAUGACGCGAGGUACACUUUAGAGGGAAAUGGUCGCGGGUGGAUGUUGAAGUCGUUUGACUACGACGCGUAUGUACGGGAAGAACUCACUACCCUUAUCGACUAUAACUUUGAUGUGAGACUGGGAACAUUUCUUUACACGUGUAUAAAUAAGACGGAACUCAUUAGAAGGCUAUGGACUGUUUUCCAGUGGAAUGGAUUCCUUUCGAACAACACUGACGCUACUUCUGUUGUUAAAAAGCUGACGAAAAUGCCCAAUAUCAACAGGACUGUGUUCAGAAAGUUUGUAUUAGACACAUAUUUCUCGGCAUCUAAGAUGGAGAGAAAAAAGUGGAAAAAUCAAAGACAAGAAGCACUGAUAGCGGCAUACAAAUGCAUUCCCAUUUCCUUGUUGAAAUCUGUCAUGGAACUGUUUAAAGAUGAUUUUGAAGACUUUGGAUAUAGUAACAUACCUCCUGGAUUUGAGUACGUUGCUCAGCAGUAGAAUGUAGGGAUCUCCCCGUGAUCUGCCAACACAAUCUAUGGAUUUCCUAGAGACGUGGUCUUUCCCGGUCCAGUUCUCAGGCAUGUAAACAUGUGUUUGGCAGCCGUUACAUGUGGAAAAUGUAUUCCUUGAUCCCUAUAACUUGAGAUUACCAUGAGGUAAACUGUAAUACUUGUUCCUUGAUUUUGGCUUGCUAAUGGCGACAGCUCGGACAUCAUAGGGCAAGUUGAAUUGUGACGACUGUUUCACGUUGAGUCAGUGGCUGUAAUGUUCACACCAGGUAGAUUGAUCAUGUCUGGGUAUAAUGUUCACACCAGGUAGAUUGAUCAUGUCUGGGUAUAAUGUUCACAACAGGUAGAUUGAUCAUGCCUGGGUAUAAUGUUCACAACAGGUAGAUUGAUCAUGUCUGGGUAUAAUGUUCACACCAGGUAGAUUGAUCAUGCCUGGGUAUAAUGUUCACAACAGGUAGAUUGAUCAUGCCUGGGUAUAAUGUUCACAACAGGUAGAUUGAUCAUGCCUGGGUAUAAUGUUCACACCAGGUAGAUUGAUCAUGCCUGGGUAUAAUGUUCACAACAGGUAGAUUGAUCAUGCCUGGGUAUAAUGUUCACAACAGGUAGAUUGAUCAUGCCUGGGUAUAAUGUUCACACCAGGUAGAUUGAUCAUGCCUGGGUAUAAUGUUCACAACAGGUAGAUUGAUCAUGCCUGGGUAUAAUGUUCACACCAGGUAGAUUGAUCAUGUCUGGGUAUAAUGUUCACACCAGGUAGAUUGAUCAUGUCUGUCAGUUCAAAUAAAAUCGGUACUAAAUUAUCUAUUUUGUAACAGCAUAAACAUUUAAUGAAAUGUUGCUGAAAUGUUCAUUGAAUAUUGCAGAAAUGGGUUGUGAUUUGUAUUUAACAAUGAAAAUAAUAUUGAUCGUUUGGAUAUUUUAUGUCUUGUAUUGUAUAUAUGCAGCAUACAUCAUUGCAGGAUACAGAAAGUAGUAGGUGUCACCUGAACUGAUCAGUAGUAUCGAUCAAUGUUUGGCUUAUCUACAAUCAAUCAAUCUUUAUUUCAAGUACUGAAAAGGCCAUAGGCCUAUAGUACAUAUACACAUACAGUAGCAAUGAGUGUAAUAGGAAUUGCAUAUAUCGUAACUAAAUAUCACAUCUAUAAUGCAGAGGAUCUGAUGUUUAUUGCAUGGUAUAUAUACAUUGCAAGGUAUUUUGUGACUGUUUCAUUUUGAGAUGACAUAAGGAUAUAAAAUUUGUCUAUUCUAGGAUUCAGAUAAAAAUAUGUAUGUAUGUAUUCUUUUCUGAUGUUUGCAUACAAUGGACAGACUAGCGAAAAUGGUAUUCAUCCUCUAUCUCAUGGCAAGUACAAUAUUUACACAAUCUGUUUUCCCUUGAUAUCGCUAAAUGUCUACCUUUUUCUAUUAGAAGGUCAUGAGAACUACAUCUGAAACGGAAUUUCUUAACAUUUAUAUCCAAAAGAUAUUUUUCAGUAAGAAUGAAAGAUUUAAAACAAUUGUAAUGAUUUAACUUAUUGUGUAAACAGAGUGAAGAGUACCACUUUUGAAAAUACAUAUCUUUUAGCCUUUGUCUUAAAUUAUAUACGAAACGAUCUGGUACUGUUACAUGUUGCUCUCUCUAAAUGUACUCAUACCCGCAAGAUUGGAGUAUCUUUUUGACACCCGAGGCCCAGUUAUUUUUACCUCUGCUAUCGUAAAGAAUCAUUUCUUUGGGAAUCUGGUACAAUUUUAUCCAAUAUUUUAUUACGUUUAUGUAACUAAAUGUAUAUAUAUAUAUAGGGUAUCUCCCAAAUUCCCCGUAAACUGUAACAUUUGAAGUGUUGGAAUUUACUUCUAAAAAUCUUUUACACACAAAUAGAUGUACCUUCUCUAUUGUAACAGUUUCCUAGACCCCAUACUUCAACACCAUAGAUUAGAAUAGGACUGAUCUUUGUGUCGAAAAUCUUGAAACAAGUGUCAUACCUAAUAUUUCCAAGGGGUUUUAGGUUUGUGAAAUGACAAUUAAAAUAUUUUUGGCUUGCAGUGCGGCUUUAUCGCAAUGCAUUGACCAAGUUAGUCGAUUUGUAAAAUGUACCCCCAAAUAUUUGUAACUUCUUACAACCUCAAGUUUUUUACCUUUAUAUGACCAUUUUUUCUCGUUUUGAUAAUUUCCCUCCAUUUUUGAAAACUAUAACCUUUGUCUUAUCGAUAUUGACCUUCAAUGUCCAUUUGUUACAAUAGUACUUAAGUUCAUUUAUUAACUUUUGAAGUCCAGGCAAUUUGCUCGAGAACCUAACUAUAUCAUCAGCAAAUAGGAGUAGAAAAAGUUUAAUGGUGGAGUUGGAUGCCUGCGUUACAAUUUUCAGAUAUUUGUAUCGAAAGUUCAUUUAUGAAAAACGAAAACAGAAAUGGAAUUAGAAUACAUCCUUGUCUAACCCCAAUAUUACAAUAGAAGGAAUCAGUUAAGGUGUUUUUGUUUCGAACACAAACCUCCACACAUGAUAUAUGCAACAUGGUAAUUUAACAAUUUUAGUUCUGAUACCUUGAGAUUUGCAAAGGGACCACACCACGUUUCUGUUAAUUGAGACAAACGCUUUAGCAAAAUCAACAAAUAUAGCAUACAUUUUUCUCCUAUUGUGCUAAAUAUCUCUGUACUAGUGUCUGCAAUAUAAAUACAUCAUCAAUGUAUCCACGCCUGAAACCGCCAUGAGACUCAUCUAUCUUAAUAAAGGAAUCGGUCAAAAAUACUAAACGUUUGUGUAUAAUACUGGUAAAGAUCUUACAGAAAACACUCAAAAGAGUUAUACCCCUAUUGUUGUUGGUGACAUUAGUUGAUCCCUGUUUGUGCAAAGGAAUUACAAUCCCCAAAGUCAGCUGUUCUGUUCUGUUAUUUAAACAAUUCAGGAAUCAAGUUAUCGUCUAUAGAUGCUUAAUUACUUUUUAAGUUUGCAAUGCUUUCUAAAAUUUCGUUUCUUGUUAUAGGCAAAUCAAGAAUAUCUGAAGUUAAAUGACAAAAAGAGUUAUCAAAUGCAUUCGAUUCGUCGAUAUCAUAACAUCUAUCCUCGUUCUCUGUAGAAGUUGAAAAUAGAUCCUAGAAAUAGUUAAACCAAUCAUCAAUUGGAAUAUUGUUUUCUGCAUAACAAUUAGUAUUUAGUCUUUUAAGAGGGGUCCAAAAUUGUUUAGAAUCGCGUAUACAAUGUUCAAGAUUUUCCUGCUUCCCUUUCACUUUCUUUUCUCUGCAUACACUAUUAUAUUUAUUUCUAAUAUAAUUAUACUCAUAUAAUGAGUUAUUAUCCUUUUUUCUCCUAAAACUGUUUAAAUAUAUACAUUUUUCUUUUUUAAGUAGCUCAUAUUCACGGUCAAACCACUGUUGACGAGAUGUGUUAAAAGUACACCCUCUUUUCAUGUCACUUGCUGCCGUGCACAAGGCCUCUGACAUGUAUCUAACACUAUCGUCUAUAUUGUGUAACACUUCGUCAACAGCCUUUUCUAAUAAAGAGUGGCAUUCACUGCUCAACAAGUUGUACAUAAAUUGGUCAGCUUUAUCAUUUACCCAAACGAAUUGGAAGCCUUCUUUUACCAUGAGCUUGCACGAGUUCAGCCUGCACAGAAGUAUGUAAGCUAGCCAUGACAGGAAGAUGAA
This 5122-nucleotide unclassified non-coding RNA is filed under the name Haliotis rufescens (red abalone). Its description in RNAcentral is "carbohydrate sulfotransferase 11-like, transcript variant X1". Lineage: Eukaryota; Metazoa; Mollusca; Gastropoda; Lepetellida; Haliotidae. The record is from RNAcentral.